This 30-nucleotide non-coding RNA is filed under the name Mus musculus (house mouse). Lineage: Eukaryota; Metazoa; Chordata; Mammalia; Rodentia; Muridae. The record is from RNAcentral.
UGUGACAUUCACCUGAUGAAGGCCUACCUC